RNAcentral lists this ribosomal RNA (445 nucleotides) under uncultured bacterium. RNAcentral's name for it is "partial 16S ribosomal RNA". It matches the Rfam family "Bacterial small subunit ribosomal RNA", at positions 354 to 796 of the family's 1533-position model. The record is from RNAcentral.
GUGAGGAAUAUUGGUCAAUGGGCGGAAGCCUGAACCAGCCAAGUCGCGUGAAGGAAGAAGGAUCUAUGGUUUGUAAACUUCUUUUGAAGGGGGAUAAAGUGCGUCACGAGUGGUGCAUUGCAGGUACCCUUGGAAUAAGCAUCGGCUAACUCCGUGCCAGCAGCCGCGGUAAUACGGAGGAUGCGAGCGUUAUCCGGAUUUAUUGGGUUUAAAGGGUGCGUAGGUGGCUUUUUAAGUCAGCGGUGAAAACUGGCGGCUCAACCGCAAGAGUGCCGUUGAAACUGGGGAGCUAGAGUAUGAACGAGGUAGGCGGAAUGUGUGGUGUAGCGGUGAAAUGCAUAGAUAUCACGCAGAACUCCGAUAGCGAAGGCAGCUUACCAGGCCAUAACAGACACUGAAGCACGAAAGCGUGGGGAUCGAACAGGAUUAGAAACCCCAGUAGUCC